RNAcentral lists this ribosomal RNA (771 nucleotides) under Triticum aestivum (bread wheat). RNAcentral describes it as "partial small subunit ribosomal RNA". The record is from RNAcentral. Lineage: Eukaryota; Viridiplantae; Streptophyta; Magnoliopsida; Poales; Poaceae.
AUGUUGGAGCUCCCCUGCUUCGCCUUGGACACCGCCGGCAAGCCCUGCCUCCGCCGCCUCGCCAAGCCCCGCACCGCCAUGCCCGACCUCGCCUCUGCUUCCUCUACUACGAACAGCAGCAACUCGAGGGAACUGACGGCGCCCCCGAGCUCCAUCCGCGCCGAUCCCCAUCUUCCUCCUUGUCGCGCCGUUCAUCAGUCCCGCCGCCGCCCUGCCAAGUCUGUCCCGCCGAAGUUCCUCGUCGCCGGAGACUGCUGCAGCUCCGUCCCCGCCGCCGUUUGCCUCGCCGCCGGCCUGCUACCUUGCUGCCCGGAUCCGCUUCCUCCGGCCGCCUCCACCGCCAAGGUCCCCGGCGACCUCACCGUCCGGGCCUCCUCCGCCGCGCCUGCCGCUGCAAGUCCCUCGCUGCUGCAUCCUCUGUUUCCCUGCAUCGAACACCAGCAGCGAGCGCCUGGCUCGACCGGGUCCUGCGUUGACCCGCUCCAGCGCCAGCGUGGACCAGCUCCAGUCGGCCCGACUCCCUCCACAGACCCAGCCGGGCCAGCUUGCUCUGCUCCAUCCCAGCGCCGAAUCGGCCCAAGUGCCGUGCUUCGGUUUCGUUCCGGAGUUGUGAGGAUUCGUUCGACUACGACCGUUUGUCUUCUUCAUGGACUCGUACUUCUUCCUUGCGGGAUAUCAGUUUGCAGGUGCCUAUGUUACCGAGCAGGUGACGCAACCAAGCUCAAGGAGGAGCUCGAUGAAGAUCUUGCCCUUUGUGUUGUUUCGUUCUAG